CCCGGAUGUUAGCGGCGGACGGGUGAGUAACACGUGGGUAACCUGCCUGUAAGACUGGGAUAACUCCGGGAAACCGGAGCUAAUACCGGAUAGUUCCUUGAACCGCAUGGUUCAAGGAUGAAAGACGGUUUCGGCUGUCACUUACAGAUGGACCCGCGGCGCAUUAGCUAGUUGGUGGGGUAAUGGCUCACCAAGGCGACGAUGCGUAGCCGACCUGAGAGGGUGAUCGGCCACACUGGGACUGAGACACGGCCCAGACUCCUACGGGAGGCAGCAGUAGGGAAUCUUCCGCAAUGGACGAAAGUCUGACGGAGCAACGCCGCGUGAGUGAUGAAGGUUUUCGGAUCGUAAAGCUCUGUUGUUAGGGAAGAACAAGUGCGAGAGUAACUGCUCGCACCUUGACGGUACCUAACCAGAAAGCCACGGCUAACUACGUGCCAGCAGCCGCGGUAAUACGUAGGUGGCAAGCGUUGUCCGGAAUUAUUGGGCGUAAAGGGCUCGCAGGCGGUUUCUUAAGUCUGAUGUGAAAGCCCCCGGCUCAACCGGGGAGGGUCAUUGGAAACUGGGAAACUUGAGUGCAG
Molecule: ribosomal RNA, 581 nt
Filed under: Bacillus sp. (in: firmicutes)
Lineage: Bacteria; Bacillati; Bacillota; Bacilli; Caryophanales; Bacillaceae
Description: bacterial SSU rRNA
Rfam family: Bacterial small subunit ribosomal RNA
Source: RNAcentral